Dendroctonus ponderosae (mountain pine beetle) is the source of this 589-nucleotide long non-coding RNA. RefSeq lists it as uncharacterized. The transcript is spliced from 4 exons. Lineage: Eukaryota; Metazoa; Arthropoda; Insecta; Coleoptera; Curculionidae. The record is from RefSeq and is a predicted model, not a curated record.
UUCCAAGGUGCUGCUUCCAUAGAGAAUAGCUUCCUGGCAAAAGACGGUUGGUGCAACCUAUAGUCAAACUGUGCGAUAUUCCUGGACCAUCGCUUGAAUAUGCCCAUGGCACAUCAAAUAUCGCCACAUUUCCGGGUAGAGCAGCUCAAAUCACACAGCAUCAGCACCUGAAUUGUGUACUCCGAAAAAAUUAAAGAUGAUAUUCUGGACAGCCCUUUUACAGCUGUCACCAGUACAAAUUCUGCAAGUGUCACACAGUUUCGAGGGUAAGGAGACUUAAUUCGAAAGCAGUAAGAGAUUUUCACAGCAGAAGCAUUUGUCGCAUCGCAACUAAAUUUUGUAUUAGGGCGUAAAAAAUUUGGUACAUCGCCAACAGGUGAGAAACCUAUAUAUAAUUAUGUUAUCCAUACACAUACCUAAAUAUGUAUCUGCAUUAGUAAUUGUACUAAAUUAAUGAAUUUGGAAUGUUACUUUGAAUUAGGUAUUUGUUUAAUUUCUGAAUUUUUGAUUCAUAAUAUGAUUUUGCUUCUUGAGCAAAUGUUUCUGGUUCCUAUAACAAACACCUUUCACAAUAUAAUGGUACUUGGCG